Motacilla alba alba is the source of this 2242-nucleotide long non-coding RNA. RefSeq lists it as uncharacterized. The record is from RefSeq and is a predicted model, not a curated record. The transcript has 7 exons. NCBI's taxonomy places the organism in Eukaryota, Metazoa, Chordata, Aves, Passeriformes, Motacillidae.
UUCAUUUUUUUAAAAGAAAAAGCAGGCAGCUGAGCAAUAAGAACCAAGUCCCUACAACAGCUGAGCUUUUAAAUCGUGUUGUAUUUCUGUUUUAAGUUUUAAAGGCUAGCAGAGAGGUUCUGGGAGAAAAAUCACUUGUGUAAGUAGUGCAGGGUCCUAUGUCUGCUAUUUUUAGAGGUAAAGUAAUACAGUGUUAUUCUAUUUAAAUUGGACUGUCUGCAAGACAGAAAUUAUUUGUGAAUUUGUCAGUAAAAACUGCAGGUUACUAGAUAGAUAUGUUUGUUAAUGUUUUAAAUCAUCCAAAUAUUUAUUUUAAUGAUACUAUGCUUAUCUGGGCUCCGGAGAAGCAGCAAAGUGCUGAUUUUCCUUUUGGAGAUGUGUACAUGUGUACAUUUAGGAAGAAAAAUUCAAUAUUCUGCAAAGUUGAAUGCACCAUUGUGCCAGAUAAUUAAAAUGUAAAUUUAAGUAUCUAUGCCUGCUUUGUGAUUUUUUUAAUACUUUUAAGUUAGUUGUCUUUUAAAACAUGUGGUCAGCUGUUGUAUUCACAUAUGGUCAAAUGAUCAAAGUCUGAACUCCUCUCUAAUUGUCCCCUGCUGCUUGUCUGCUCUGUCCAUGAUCAAGGCCUCAGCAGGUGAUAAGAAAGGCAUGAGAACAGGCUGGAAGGAGAAUGAACUACUGAGGGGCCCAAGCUGAAAGAAAUAAAGACUUCCAGUACAUCACCCUGACAGUAAAGAACCAAGAAAAAGUGAAGUCUGGUAACUGAAGUCCAUGUGUCCAAAUGACUGCAGCAGCAAGACUGGACAGAGGGAGUGUGUGUCUGCAUGGACAGGGAGUAUUUUAUCAGGAGGCAGAUGUGAGAGGAUUUAGAGGAUAUUGAAGAAGAAUCCUUGUGGUGGUCAGGCUGCUGUAGAACGGCAAGCAGGUCCCUUUCCUGGCACAAGCUGGCCUUUCUGCGAGCCCAUGGAAAGUUCUUGAGCUGAGAGCUCUCCCUGCCUGCUGCUGAUAGCAGAGCCUAGAUUUGGGUGAGUCACGUGCCUGCAGGUUCUGAGGCUUCCUGGAAGCACCAGCUGCUGCAAGACUUGGGAUGAGACUGCAGGAGUGUGCAGUGCUGCUGGCACAAGGAGGCCUUUUCAUCCAGCAUCCUUUUGGGUCACGUGGUGACUUUGGAGUUGCACCCUUUCUCUUAUGUUUAAGAGUUCCAGUUCAUGGUGAUAUUUAAGAAAUAAAGCUGAACUCAGCCAAAACAGAAGAACUGAAGAAGGCCAGUCAUCAGAGGGGAGGAAUAUAGCCUGACAAGUCUACAGAACACCAUGGAGAAGAGUCUGGCUCUGUCCUUUCCUCCUCCCUUCCAUUUAUAAAAACAGCCUUGACCACAUGGCUCCAACUGUUCCCAUAACUCCCGUUGCUGAUGUUCUAACAUGAUACAGCCAUAAACUGGAUCUUUCUUUUCUUUUCAUGUACUUUUUAAUUAUCUGAAGACUAAACUUUUGAAUACCACUUCUCACGCUGGAUUUGAGGCUAGAAAGCAAGUUUGCUUAUUUAAUAUUUGCUUUGAUUUGGUGAUUAGUCUUUGCUCUUAAUUAUUUUCACCAUUUCCACAUGAGUGAUCAGGAAAUUAACAGCUGUCUCACACUUUCAGCGAGUUAAAAACAGCCUAUGGUAUUUCCUUAUUGACGUUUUACUUGCCCCUGUGCAGAAUGUUUUAAGAUGUUGCUUCUCUUGAGUUUACCACCUCACAGCUUGAGUAAUGUCACAGCUUUUAAAAAAGUUUCCCUUUUGACUUGCCAAGCUGAUGAAGACAAGUAAAGUCAUCCAGCAUAAAAGGUAUAAGUGAACAAAACAUGAAUGGAAGGUGUGGGUCAAGUUACAAUCCAAACAAGGAGAAUAUUAGAAGCAGUUCUGGAGACUGAGGAGACCAGUCCUGUGGCACACAUCUGCCGUGAGAAAUACUGCCAUCCUGGGAUCCUGUGUGGUGUUUACACACUCGUAGCAAAUCCUCUGAAAAAAGUGAAAAUAGAUGGGUUGCUGCUCCUUUUUCCACUGAUGUUUUCCUUUUAUCUUUUCAUUCCUUUUCAGAUGGGUAAUGAUUGUAAAUCGCUGCUUGCCACAGAAAGUGAUGUUUUCCAAGAGCAGUUAUUUGAUUCUUGUAAUAUCAUUUAUUAGUUACAUUCAAUAAGUGCCCAACCUAUGCUCUAAAUGCCUUUUAAAAACACACUAAUAAACAGGUUUUGAUUGCUUUUUG